RNAcentral lists this ribosomal RNA (206 nucleotides) under uncultured bacterium. Its description in RNAcentral is "partial 16S ribosomal RNA". It matches the Rfam family "Bacterial small subunit ribosomal RNA", at positions 568 to 774 of the family's 1533-position model. The record is from RNAcentral.
CGUGUAGGCGGCCAAUUAAGCUAGGUGUAAAAUGUUACAGCUCAACUGUAAACCCGCAUCUAGAACUGGUUGGCUAGAGGAUGAGAGAGGAAAGUGGAAUUCCUAGUGUAGCGGUGGAAUGCGUAGAUAUUAGGAGGAACACCAGUGGCGAAGGCGGCUUUCUGGCUCAUACCUGACGCUGAGGCGCGAAAGCGUGGGAGCAAACA